UGGGGAAUCUUGCACAAUGGGCGAAAGCCUGAUGCAGCAACGCCGCGUGCGGGAAGAAGGCCCUAGGGUUGUAAACCGCUUUCAGCAGGGAAGAAAAUGACGGUACCUGUAGAAGAAGGUGCGGCCAACUACGUGCCAGCAGCCGCGGUGACACGUAGGCACCAAGCGUUGUCCGGAUUUAUUGGGCGUAAAGAGCUUGUAGGCGGUUCGGUUAGUCGGGUGUGAAACCUCUGGGCUCAACUCAGAGACGCCACCCGAUACUGCUGUGACUAGAGUGCGGUAGGGGAGCGGGGAAUUCCUGGUGUAGCGGUGAAAUGCGCAGAUAUCAGGAGGAACACCAGUGGCGAAGGCGCCGCUCUGGGCCGUAACUGACGCUGAGAAGCGAAAGCGUGGGGAGCAAACA
Molecule: ribosomal RNA, 403 nt
Filed under: uncultured bacterium
Lineage: Bacteria
Description: bacterial SSU rRNA
Rfam family: Bacterial small subunit ribosomal RNA
Source: RNAcentral